AGCUACACAUGCAAGUCGAGCGGUAACAGGGGGUGCUUGCACCCCGCUGACGAGCGGCGGACGGGUGAGUAAUGCAUAGGAAUCUGCCCAGUAGUGGGGGAUAGCCCGGGGAAACCCGGAUUAAUACCGCAUACGCCCUUUGGGGGAAAGCAGGGGAUCUUCGGACCUUGCGCUAUUGGAUGAGCCUAUGUCGGAUUAGCUAGUUGGUGGGGUAAAGGCCUACCAAGGCGACGAUCCGUAGCUGGUCUGAGAGGAUGAUCAGCCACAUCGGGACUGAGACACGGCCCGAACUCCUACGGGAGGCAGCAGUGGGGAAUAUUGGACAAUGGGGGCAACCCUGAUCCAGCCAUGCCGCGUGUGUGAAGAAGGCUUUCGGGUUGUAAAGCACUUUCAGUGAGGAGGAAAACCUUCUGGUUAAUACCCAUGAGGCUUGACGUUACUCACAGAAGAAGCACCGGCUAACUCCGUGCCAGCAGCCGCGGUAAUACGGAGGGUGCAAGCGUUAAUCGGAAUUACUGGGCGUAAAGCGCGCGUAGGUGGUUUGAUAAGCGAGAUGUGAAAGCCCCGGGCUUAACCUGGGAACGGCAUUUCGAACUGUCAGGCUAGAGUG
RNAcentral lists this ribosomal RNA (610 nucleotides) under Marinobacter sp. RNAcentral describes it as "bacterial SSU rRNA". It matches the Rfam family "Bacterial small subunit ribosomal RNA", at positions 45 to 648 of the family's 1533-position model. The record is from RNAcentral. Lineage: Bacteria; Pseudomonadati; Pseudomonadota; Gammaproteobacteria; Pseudomonadales; Marinobacteraceae.